AAAUUCCUUGUCGGGUAAGUUCCGACCCGCACGAAAGGCGUAACGAUUUGGGCACUGUCUCAACAACAGACUCGGUGAAAUUGUAAUUCCGGUGAAGAUGCCGGAUACCUGCGACAGGACGGAAAGACCCCAUGGAGCUUUACUGUAGCUUGACAUUGGGUCUUGGUACUACAUGUACAGGAUAGGUGGGAGGCUUUGAAACCAGGACGCCAG
RNAcentral lists this ribosomal RNA (213 nucleotides) under Clostridioides difficile. RNAcentral describes it as "partial 23S ribosomal RNA". It matches the Rfam family "Bacterial large subunit ribosomal RNA", at positions 1962 to 2174 of the family's 2925-position model. The record is from RNAcentral. Lineage: Bacteria; Bacillati; Bacillota; Clostridia; Peptostreptococcales; Peptostreptococcaceae.